UGAAUCUUGUCGGAGUGCCCAGAGGUGAGCGUUUACGUUCGCCGCGGGCUGAGACCGUUAAUUCGGGAUCCGCGGAACCUGAUCAGGUUAAAACCUGCGAAGGGAACAAGAGUAAUGCCUCA
Molecule: non-coding RNA, 122 nt
Filed under: Shimwellia blattae
Lineage: Bacteria; Pseudomonadati; Pseudomonadota; Gammaproteobacteria; Enterobacterales; Enterobacteriaceae
Also listed under: 1 other name
Description: TPP sequence
Rfam family: TPP riboswitch aptamer (THI element)
About the family: Vitamin B(1) in its active form thiamin pyrophosphate (TPP) is an essential coenzyme that is synthesised by coupling of pyrimidine and thiazole moieties in bacteria. The previously detected thiamin-regulatory element, thi box was extended, resulting in a new, highly conserved RNA secondary structure, the THI element, which is widely distributed in eubacteria and also occurs in some archaea. Analysis of operon structures identified a large number of new candidate thiamin-regulated genes, mostly transporters, in various prokaryotic organisms.
Source: RNAcentral